Molecule: ribosomal RNA, 253 nt
Filed under: uncultured archaeon
Lineage: Archaea
Description: partial 16S ribosomal RNA
Rfam family: Archaeal small subunit ribosomal RNA
Source: RNAcentral
UACAGGGGUUGCAAGUCUUGUUCGGAAUUAUUUGGCCUAAAGCGUUCGUAGCCGGUUAAGUAAAUCUCUUGUGAAAUCAUCGGGCUUAACUUGAUGACGUGCAGGAGACACUGCUUGGCUUGGGACUGGGAGGAGCUGAAAGUAUGCUGAGGGGAGCGGUAAAAUGCAAUAAUCCUCAGUAGACUACCUGUGGCGAAGGCGUUCAGCUAGAACAGAUCCGACGGUGAGGGGCGAAAGCUAGGGGAGCGAACCG